RNAcentral lists this ribosomal RNA (253 nucleotides) under uncultured Clostridiaceae bacterium. RNAcentral describes it as "partial 16S ribosomal RNA". It matches the Rfam family "Bacterial small subunit ribosomal RNA", at positions 524 to 776 of the family's 1533-position model. Lineage: Bacteria; Bacillati; Bacillota; Clostridia; Eubacteriales; Clostridiaceae. The record is from RNAcentral.
UACGGAGGAUGCGAGCGUUAUCCGGAUUUACUGGGCGUAAAGGGAGCGUAGGCGGACUUUUAAGUGAGAUGUGAAAUACUCGGGCUCAACUUGAGUGCUGCAUUUCAAACUGGAAGUCUAGAGUGCAGGAGAGGAGAAUGGAAUUCCUAGUGUAGCGGUGAAAUGCGUAGAUAUACGGAGGAACACCAGUGGCGAAGGCGGAUUGCUGGACAGUAACUGACGCUGAGGCGCGAAAGCGUGGGGAGCAAACAGG